Long non-coding RNA from Wyeomyia smithii (pitcher-plant mosquito), 1812 nucleotides. RefSeq lists it as uncharacterized. Lineage: Eukaryota; Metazoa; Arthropoda; Insecta; Diptera; Culicidae. The transcript is spliced from 6 exons. The record is from RefSeq and is a predicted model, not a curated record.
UGACAAUACUUUUUUAUAAUGUAAAUUUAACAAAGGUUGCGAAGUAAAGUUUGAUUGCUUGCAGGUGACGAAAAAUACUCGAACAAUUUACAUGUUUUCAAGCAUGAAGAGAAAAUAACACACGAUUGCCUAACAAGAGGCGCACUUCGAGUGGCCUGUCUCAUGCAACGAGUGAAGGUAGUGAAGAGAUUCAUGCUUAGUUCACAAAAAAAAGAUAAGUUUGCAAGAAGGAAAGUUACAUUAUCGUCUUAGAUGAAAAAUUGCCUUAGUUUAUUGGCGAUAUUUGCAAUUUGAGUGUGUAUGCACCUCGCAUUUCGCAGUCACGAAAAAAAUGCUUUAGCCUUUCUGGUAUCGCAGUUGCUGCGAAUGAUUCAUUAUCGUAGCAACCGUUGACAUUGUGAUAUUUUUUUCACAACUUUCAAGAUGUGAGAAAAAAUGUCUAGAAAAACCUAUCGUUCUGGUGCAGAGAAAACUACUUUUCGGAAGCAAGUUGCUGUGAAGCUGGCCGCAAGACGCUUUUCUUUAUAAUUAUCUACGAGGAUCUUGUCGAGUGUGACGCGAUGGCGUGUUUAGUUAAACUGCUUGUGAUUCCUGCAAUCCAUCGGAGUAUAAUGGAUACGAAAACCACAGAACUUUUAAGGUUCAUAUCGAGGCCUUUCCACCGGGAAAUACCGCCGCAAAACGGCAUACAGCAGAAGUGCUUUUUCAGCAAAUUGGGCGCUUCCGGAAACAAAAAUGAUACGUGAAUCCUAACUGCAGAUGACUUUUCAGUAGGGUGAAAAAUCUACCGCUCUGCGCGAUUUGGCAAUUUCGGACACUCCAUUACUACGUGGUAGUAGACGAUCUCGUGAACAUCGACGUAAAAGUUCCCGGUGCAACUUUUGCUCUCGAGCUCAAGUAAUUCCAACAUGAGUAACGAAGCGAACGCAAACUAAAUGAUACGACCUACUUGUUGGAUUUUAUUCAUCCCGAUUUUCUACUGCUUCAAAUAGUUGCGAGGAAUUUUAUCUUCUAGGAUCUAAUCUUGGAUGAUCUGUUGUACCCGGUCUACCUGUUAGUGUUUCGUUAGGAAUCUUGGAAGGAAGGUAGCUAUGAUGUCGCAUACGAUCUAAUUCGUUCAGCCAGGCCGCAAUUCGGAACUCACACCUACAGUGACUACAAGAGCGUCAAUAAGGGUGUCAGCUGUUAGCUUUCGAGGAUCAGUUAGCGGAUCUGUUCAAUGCACCUAAAGUUUGCGCCAUAGCGAAAUAGAGCAAGGAGAAAAUCUACAACGUGCUAAAGUAAGCGGCUUUACGAAAUAGAAGAUGGCUGAAGUUUGGGCUAGAUCGCGCGAGUUGGGUAAGGUAUUGUUUAUGCCAAACAGUUACCUUCGAGAACUUCAGUAUUUGUUUCGGAAUCUCACAAACUGCAUUCAGUGAUGUUCGAAGGAAAAGCAGUUUGCACACAGGUAACAGAUAACCAGAGAGAAUAAAAAGUGUACAAUGUGACAAGUGUACAAGUGGAAAAAAGAUGGAUAAAACGACAGAAAACAGAGAGAUUUUAUUCUCCAUCCAACUAAAAAUCGCCAAAGCGCUACAUUCGGAAUGUGACUGCUGCCAAAAGUCGGUCUGAAAUCUGGCCGGGUUGGAAGUUUCCGGAAGAGAUAGAGAUAGACUCGGACAGCGGAGGAGGGAGAGGGAACGGUUGGAAGAACUCGGAGCGGUCGCAGAACCAGGUGGAAUUCCUGCCGGAUGACUAGCAGAACCGGCUGCACACGACCAUCAAACUAAUGAAAUAAAAUAAAUGCGAAUAAAAUUUUAAUUUAUUUUGUCA